Molecule: ribosomal RNA, 497 nt
Filed under: uncultured bacterium
Lineage: Bacteria
Description: partial 16S ribosomal RNA
Rfam family: Bacterial small subunit ribosomal RNA
Source: RNAcentral
GAUGAACGCUGGCGGCGUGCCUAAUACAUGCAAGUCGAGCGAACGGACGAGAAGCUUGCUUCUCUGAUGUUAGCGGCGGACGGGUGAGUAACACGUGGAUAACCUACCUAUAAGACUGGGAUAACUUCGGGAAACCGGAGCUAAUACCGGAUAAUAUUUUGAACCGCAUGGUUCAAAAGUGAAAGACGGUCUUGCUGUCACUUAUAGAUGGAUCCGCGCUGCAUUAGCUAGUUGGUAAGGUAACGGCUUACCAAGGCAACGAUGCAUAGCCGACCUGAGAGGGUGAUCCGCCACACUUGAACUGAGACACGGUCCAGACUCCUACGGGAGGCAGCAGUAGGGAAUCUUCCGCAAUGGGCGAAAGCCUGACGGAGCAACGCCGCGUGAGUGAUGAAGGUCUUCGGAUCGUAAAACUCUGUUAUUAGGGAAGAACAUAUGUGUAAGUAACUGUGCACAUCUUGACGGUACCUAAUCAGAAAGCCACGGCUAACUACGUG